AGAGUUUGAUNNUGGCUCAGAUUGAACGCUGGCGGCAGGCCUAACACAUGCAAGUCGAGCGGCAGCACAAGGGAGUUUACUUCUGAGGUGGCGAGCGGCGGACGGGUGAGUAAUGCCUAGGGAUCUGCCCAGUCGAGGGGGAUAACAGUUGGAAACGACUGCUAAUACCGCAUACGCCCUACGGGGGAAAGGAGGGGACCUUCGGGCCUUCCGCGAUUGGAUGAACCUAGGUGGGAUUAGCUAGUUGGUGAGGUAAUGGCUCACCAAGGCGACGAUCCCUAGCUGUUCUGAGAGGAUGAUCAGCCACACUGGGACUGAGACACGGCCCAGACUCCUACGGGAGGCAGCAGUGGGGAAUAUUGCACAAUGGGGGAAACCCUGAUGCAGCCAUGCCGCGUGUGUGAAGAAGGCCUUCGGGUUGUAAAGCACUUUCAGUAGGGAGGAAAGGGUGUAGCUUAAUACGCUAUAUCUGUGACGUUACCUACAGAAGAAGGACCGGCUAACUCCGUGCCAGCAGCCGCGGUAAUAC
This 529-nucleotide ribosomal RNA is filed under the name uncultured marine bacterium. Its description in RNAcentral is "bacterial SSU rRNA". It matches the Rfam family "Bacterial small subunit ribosomal RNA", at positions 8 to 526 of the family's 1533-position model. The record is from RNAcentral.